RNAcentral lists this ribosomal RNA (468 nucleotides) under uncultured bacterium. RNAcentral describes it as "partial 16S ribosomal RNA". It matches the Rfam family "Bacterial small subunit ribosomal RNA", at positions 28 to 507 of the family's 1533-position model. The record is from RNAcentral.
GACGAACGCUGGCGGCGUGCUUAACACAUGCAAGUCGAACGGAAAGGCCCUGCUUUUGUGGGGUGCUCGAGUGGCGAACGGGUGAGUAACACGUGAGUAACCUGCCCUUGACUUUGGGAUAACUUCAGGAAACUGGGGCUAAUACCGGAUAGGAGCUCCUGCUGCAUGGUGGGGGUUGGAAAGUUUCGGCGGUUGGGGAUGGACUCGCGGCUUAUCAGCUUGUUGGUGGGGGAGUGGCUUACCAAGGCUUUGACGGGUAGCCGGCCUGAGAGGGUGACCGGCCACAUUGGGACUGAGAUACGGCCCAGACUCCUACGGGAGGCAGAAGUGGGGAAUAUUGCACAAUGGGCGGAAGCCUGAUGCAGCAACGCCGCGUGCGGGAUGACGGCCUUCGGGUUGUAAACCGCUUUCGCCUGCGACGAAGCGUGAGUGACGGUAAUGGGUAAAGAAGCACCGGCUAACUACGUG